UGUAUAUAUGUGUCCUGAAUUAGGAACUAAAUCUGGAGCUAAAAAUCCUUUUUAACAAAUUCCUUCUUAAACUUCUUAAACUAAAACAGUGCACAUCCUAUUCGUUACUAAUAUAAGUUUUAUAAAGAUAGUCUUUUACAAUAAAACAAAGCUUUUCUGAAAAUAUGUUUGUAUAUCUUUGUUAUGUUUAAGGUGACUGACUGGAGGUCAUAGCUUCCCCUGUGUUUCACGUUACUGCUACCGUUCUGCUUAUCGCUAAUGAUGUCUGAUACGGUUGGUUUGUCCAAUAAGAGGAAGUGCGGCGGUUGUGUAACUCUCAUCUUGUUGUGCGACGUAUUUUAUAAUGGAUAAUGAUUAGAUAACGAUGGUUGUAGUAUUUAGAUAACAGCUUCAGAUCUUCUGUGCUGUAAUCAUAAGAAGUCCCAAGAACAGAUUGAGAUUUUAGCACAUUUGUUAUCGUAAUUAUAUGAAUAUUUUAAUAAUUGUAUUAUAUUAUAUAAUGAAUAUAUAUAAUAUAAUUUAAUUAUAACCUUUUGUGUGAACAGCUAUGACCUUGUUUGUCUCUUGCCUGUAACAAUAAAAUAAUUAGACUAACAGGACCAUGUGUGUUUUUUUCCCCCUGUGUGUUGUCUGCAGGACAGCGUAGUGGAGUUCAACAGGUUCGACCCUGCCUGCCUGUUACCCGCCAACACCGAUGACUACUGGACCUACCACGGCUCUCUGACCACACCCCCCCUGACCGAGUCCGUCUCCUGGAUCGUUAUGAAGCAGCACAUAGAAGUCAGCCACGACCAGCUGGCGGUCUUCCGGAGCCUCCUCUUCACCUCUGCCGAGGAGGACGUACAGAAGAGCAUGGUGAACAACUUCCGCGUGCAGCAGUCGCCCUGCGGCCGCACCGUCCGCUCCUCCUUCACUCCUUUCCUGCAGGAGGCUGCAGGCGACAAGCACUCCCACUGACGCCGCUGGACCCGGUACUCACAGGGACCAGAACUACCUUUCACUCUGUGAGCAACUGUCCACACUCCAUCUUUUAUUUUUAACUCCGUCACUACAAAAGGUUUCUCAUCUCAUUUGAAGCAGAAAACAUAUUUUGAAGUAUGACAAAGUUUCCUCACAGGAUCUUCAGUUCUACUUAUUGCUGUUUUUCUUUGAAGGAGUGAACAGAAUCCAUUUAUUUUUUAUUACAAACCUGUUUUACAUGGAGGGUGUAGGGAUACUUUGUUUUUUUUUUCCGAUUUUGGUUUUGAGUGCCGCAGACCAAUAACUAAUAAGGGAUGGCUGCUGUGGGGGGGAAUAUGUGGUUUUACUAACUUUGAUAACAGGAAUUGUGUUUAUUAUACGUUACAUGUUACUGUCCGUGGGGUUUGUAGCUGCAGCUCAGUCUGGAGAACGGCUGAGGCCAGAACUCAACAGCACCGUGUGCUGGCCACAGCCGGUACUACAGCAGAGUCUGCUCGUGAUGUUUCUGACUAUACAAGGAGGCUGCAGCUAGUUUACAGCAGAAAGCCCAGGUGAUUUUAACAGACUACACAAUGCAUAAUAAAUUGAAUAUCAUAAAGGGCUUUAAAAAUUCUAAUAAUAAUAUAUGGUGGGUUGUUGGGUUUUAUCAUUCAUUUUGUCAUCUAUACGUUAACAAGAUGAUUAGAAUGUAUGUUUUUUUUUUUUAAUCUGUUACAAAGAGAUUAUAGGAUACAUGCGACAUCCCUCUACCGAGCCUUGGGCCUUCUACUCAGAACUAAUACUCUCAAACAUGCCAGCUUACAGUAGCACACAUGCAUUUUAAGAACAUUCUGAUUGGAAGUAGCGUUUUUUUUUAGUUUUUUUUUUUAACCACAGUGCCUUAAAUAUUCUCUGUGUCGCUCCAACUCAGACAUGCGAGGCGAGUCUCCGCCGCGCGGUUCAGCGCGCAAAGUUGUCUCGGAGGAAUCGGUCGAGUCUGUGACGCGGCAGAGCUUCCACAACACACCGGUGUGUUUCGGCCACGAUGAGUUCAGGGACACGGUGGGGGAAUUAGGUAAACCGGCAACCGACUAGACUUUCAGCUCAACUGAUUGAAUCAUCUUUAUCCGGAGGGAACCCGUCCGUCUGGUUCUGUUAGCUUCCUGUUGAUCAAAGUAACGUGAUGAGAUGAAUCCAAUAUGAGAAAGAGUUGCAAAUACUGUAACGUAGAGUAUCUGAACUAGUCCAAACUGCUUUUAUGUGUUUUAAAUUUGAAUGUCAAGGAUACUUCAAUGAAUAGCUGUGGUAGGGCUGGAUUGACGGGUUGACCAGAGUGGGACCAACUGACCACAGCAGCCUUGUGUAUCACCUCGCCUGUUAGCCGGAGUCUAAAAAUAUCUUUAUAGUUUCUUUCACUGUCUGCAACUGUUAAGUGCAAUCUCUGGUUCAGGAUGUCUUCCAUCCGUCUUUGAGAAACAAUGCAGCGUGUUCCUGGGGUUUUCCUUCCAUAUCCUAAGUCACAUUGUCAUCUUAUGAAUGAUUUUAGUAAUACUAAACGACUUUGUACGACUCCCAAAGAAAUGAAGAAGCACAGCAACAGAAGUACUUGUUCUCUUGUGAAGUUGUUUCCCAGUUUUAUAGCCGUAAUCUCUGCUGUCUAAAAAUCUUCUCCAGCAUUUAUUGUUAUCCCAGACUUGCCUGAGAUAAAGGCUUAUGGGAAACGGUGUUCGUUAAAGGCCGCUAUAAACCAGAGAUAUUACAAACAACGAACAUGAAUACUGUCCCGUACUCUAGAUAAAGGCUCUGUGCCGAGGCUGGAUUGAAAGUAUUUGCAUAGUAACGAGUGUUCGUGGGAAGUUCCUCUUUCCCUGCGGCUCUAUUUGCGCGACACUUGAUGCAAUUUAUCCAGACCGACAGAAUCUCUACCCUAAAGUCAACCAAACACACCUUUGUGCGUCUUUUUUUUUUUUUUCUUCCCACUUAAUCCAAUAUCGCUGCAAGAACAAGAGCGAGAUGACGCAACCUUGCAUCGUGUAAAGAAGUCUGCCAUCUGUCGCUCUGUCAGCCCGACGACUCUCCCCAUGCAGCGCUAUUAGAAAAGAGAAGAAGAGGUUUGAUGAACGAGACAGGGAGAGGGAUGAAGAGGAAUGCUAGUUCUGAUUUGGAAACGGUACGUGAAAAGAUAUGUUCAGAUUCUCAGACAUGCUUUAGGACGGGGGAACUAUAAUUGCACUAAAAAGCCACGUGUAUCUGACUUCUUCUCAGUUUAUCUACACGUGAACUCACAGUUUGGGUUGAGAGCUGCCGUCUAUAUAAUCCCCCCGAGGAACAAUGCAACUGGCCCAAACUGGCCCUCCACCGCUAUAGAAAUAGCCGUUGCUCCUUUCCUGCAUGGACGUUCGCAUCAGACACACACACACACACACACACACACACACACACACACACUGAAUAGACUCAAUUGGAUAUGCGUCGAAAAGAUUAGCGAUGCGCUCCGAGUGAUGUUACGUCGUCGCGAAAGGCUGCAGAUUUGCCAGAUAGACGCCGAAGGAGUGGACUUGGUGUGGAAGUGUGAUGCCACUUCUGUUGCCUUUUUUCUUUUAUUCUUUUUUGUUCUGUUCUGAUGCAAUACAUAAUCUAUGUUCAAUGUAUUUUUUACUAACAAUGGAGACAAGGGACCCGGCACUGCCUUCAUCUUGUUCAGCUGUAUUUGUAUUGAAGUAUUUGAAAUGUGCACCAUGAUCUUCAUGUGCCUUCAUGUAAAUGCCCUUUUAAGAAAAAAAAAAAAAAAAAGAACAACUUCUAAUGCAAUGUAUAUCAUAAUAUUCCAGUAAAAAAUGUUCAAUCUGUAAAAACAUGUUUGUCUGCGUGGCCUUUUCUGUCAAGCUGGAAAAAAACAUCAGGAAUCAGUUGGACAUGAUCAUAGAUGGUUCAGAAUAAGUUUUUUUUUUUUUUUUUUUUUUUUUAGGUCUUCAGGAGUUCAACAUUUUUACAUCCUCUCCUGACUUAUAUUACGUCUGCCUCUCUAAACAUAUAGGUAUUACAGAAUGCUGUCAUCUUGCCGUUAUACACUCGUAGUGCAGCUUUCCUUGCCUUCUGCAGCUCCGUGUGAUGUUUUAGCAGGUGUAUGCUGUGCACUGUAUGCAUUGCAUAUUUUAACUGUUUGUUUGUAUAGUGGGCAGCCCACAUUCCUGCCCUGCAGGGCUUCACUGGGGGCCCCUUCUCCCCUCCCAGCAUGAUUUGCUCCACCUGGAUGGCUCUUUUACAGGCCCCUGUCCAGCUGAGCAACCAGGAUGUGUU
Long non-coding RNA from Anarrhichthys ocellatus (wolf-eel), 4239 nucleotides. RefSeq lists it as uncharacterized. The transcript has 2 exons. The record is from RefSeq and is a predicted model, not a curated record. Lineage: Eukaryota; Metazoa; Chordata; Actinopteri; Perciformes; Anarhichadidae.